UACGUAGGGGGCGAGCGUUGUCCGGAGUUACUGGGCGUAAAGGGCGUGCAGGCGGUGCGGUAAGUUUAGCGUGACAGUCUCCGGCUUAACUGGAGAAGGCCGCUGAAAACUGCUGGACUUGAGGGCCAGAGAGGGACAUAGAAUUCCGGGUGGAGUGGUGAAAUGCGUAGAUAUCCGGAGGAAUACCAAAGGCGAAGGCAGUGUCCUGGCUGGCAACUGACGCUGAGGCGCGAAAGCCAGGGGAGCAAACGGG
RNAcentral lists this ribosomal RNA (253 nucleotides) under uncultured bacterium. Its description in RNAcentral is "partial 16S ribosomal RNA". It matches the Rfam family "Bacterial small subunit ribosomal RNA", at positions 524 to 776 of the family's 1533-position model. The record is from RNAcentral.